UAGCAGAAGGGAUUUCAUCGGUCUGGACGAAAAGCCAAGCGUUCAUGCCUUUCAUACAAGGCUUGAGAGCUUCCCAUUUGGUGCCUUCAAUGGCUUUGAAGACCAAAGUGUUCUUGGCGACGAUGAGCUUUGUAGUGUCGGGGAGAGUUCUCCGGAGGUCUUGAAACUGCUUGACGGUGAGGCCUUUGUAGUUGAUGGCGGCGAGGAGAUGGCAGUUCUCCAAGUGAGACUUGACGGCUUCGACAGUCUCUUCCUUCUUGUUACGAGACACCGCGGAUCUGAUGACCGGGAGGCGAGGGUAAUUUGGGGAAUUCGAGGUUUUGGGUGUGAGAGUUGAGAUUCGCUGGUGACAGAGAGGAGACAAGGAAGAAGAGAAGGAGAGAAGAGCCACUUCCAUUUUUUUGCUCAGAAGAUGAGGAGACUGUUUCUAGCUGUGUGGAGGAAGAAGAUAGAUG
Arabidopsis thaliana (thale cress) is the source of this 455-nucleotide long non-coding RNA. RefSeq annotates it as other RNA. The transcript has a single exon. Lineage: Eukaryota; Viridiplantae; Streptophyta; Magnoliopsida; Brassicales; Brassicaceae. The record is from RefSeq.